RNAcentral lists this ribosomal RNA (446 nucleotides) under uncultured rumen bacterium. RNAcentral's name for it is "bacterial SSU rRNA". It matches the Rfam family "Bacterial small subunit ribosomal RNA", at positions 217 to 662 of the family's 1533-position model. The record is from RNAcentral.
GGUAUGGGAUGAGCUUGCGUCAGAUUAGCUAGUUGGCGGGGCAACGGCCCACCAAGGCGACGAUCGGUAGCCGGCCUGAGAGGGUGAUCGGCCACAUUGGGAUUGAGAUGCGGCCCAGACUCCUACGGGAGGCAGCAGUAGGGAAUAUUGCACAAUGGGGGAAACCCUGAUGCAGCAACGCCACGUGUGGGAAGAAGCAUUUCGGUGUGUAAACCACUGUCAUGAGGGAAUAAGGCCUGUCUUCGGGCAGGAUUGAAUGUACCUUGAGAGGAAGCACCGGCAAACUUCGUGCCAGCAGCCGCGGUAAUACGAGGGGUGCAAGCGUUGUUCGGAAUUACUGGGCGUAAAGGGAGCGUAGGCGGAGAUUCAAGCGGAUUGUACAAUCCCGGGGCCCAACCCCGGCUCUGCAGUCCGAACUGGAUCUCUUGGAUAGUUCAGGGGCAGGC